This 296-nucleotide long non-coding RNA is filed under the name Capsicum annuum. RNAcentral describes it as "long non-coding RNA (CANN_LNC004206)". Lineage: Eukaryota; Viridiplantae; Streptophyta; Magnoliopsida; Solanales; Solanaceae. The record is from RNAcentral.
UCGACGUUAUGCUGUCCACUACUCCCUCCACUGGCAUUGAUAUUAUCCUCAGCAGCUUGCCACCGUCCACUGUUCCUUCCGCUAGCAUUGAUAUUAUCCUCAACAGCCUGCCACUGUUCACAGCUCCCUCCACUAGUAUUGAUAUUGUCCUCAGCAGCCUGCCACUAUCCACUGCUCCCUCGACUAGCAUUGGUAUUGUCCUCAGCAGCCUGCCACACCUGAGGCUGGAUGUAAACAGAUGGAAAAACCCUAGGCAUAGCAGUCCUUCGAAUCAUCACCUCAGAUGGAGCAGUCUU